CUCCAGACUCCUACGGGAGGCAGCAGUGAGGAAUAUUGGUCAAUGGCCGAAGGGCUGAACCAGCCAAGCCGCGUGAAGGAAUAAGGCCCUACGGGUCGUAAACUUCUUUAGUCAGGGAACAAAGGGAGCCACGCGUGGCGCUGUGAGUGUACCUGAAGAAUAAGCAUCGGCUAACUCCGUGCCAGCAGCCGCGGUAAUACGGAGGAUGCGAGCGUUAUCCGGAUUUAUUGGGUUUAAAGGGUGCGCAGGCGGAGGUGCAAGUCAGCGGUCAAAUUGCGGGGCUCAACCUGGAGACUGCACUUGAAACUGGGUGUCUUGAGGGCAGGAGAGGAAAGUGGAAUUCCUAGUGUAGCGGUGAAAUGCGUAGAUAUUAGGAGGAACACCAGUGGCGAAGGCGACUUUCUGGACUGUACCUGACGCUGAGGCGCGAAAGCGUGGGUAGCGAACGGGAUUAGAUACCCCGAUACG
This 468-nucleotide ribosomal RNA is filed under the name uncultured bacterium. RNAcentral's name for it is "bacterial SSU rRNA". It matches the Rfam family "Bacterial small subunit ribosomal RNA", at positions 329 to 793 of the family's 1533-position model. The record is from RNAcentral.